AUUGAACGCUGGCGGCAUGCUUUACACAUGCAAGUCGAACGGUAACAGGCCGCAAGGUGCUGACGAGUGGCGAACGGGUGAGUAAUGCAUCGGAACGUGCCCAGUCGUGGGGGAUAACGCAGCGAAAGCUGCGCUAAUACCGCAUACGAUCUAUGGAUGAAAGCGGGGGACCGUAAGGCCUCGCGCGAUUGGAGCGGCCGAUGUCAGAUUAGGUAGUUGGUGGGGUAAAGGCCUACCAAGCCGACGAUCUGUAGCUGGUCUGAGAGGACGACCAGCCACACUGGGACUGAGACACGGCCCAGACUCCUACGGGAGGCAGCAGUGGGGAAUUUUGGACAAUGGGCGCAAGCCUGAUCCAGCAAUGCCGCGUGCAGGAAGAAGGCCUUCGGGUUGUAAACUGCUUUUGUACGGAACGAAACGGUCCUGGUUAAUACCUGGGGCUAAUGACGGUACCGUAAGAAUAAGCACCGGCUAACUACGUGCCAGCAGCCGCGGUAA
RNAcentral lists this ribosomal RNA (498 nucleotides) under uncultured bacterium. RNAcentral describes it as "partial 16S ribosomal RNA". It matches the Rfam family "Bacterial small subunit ribosomal RNA", at positions 30 to 523 of the family's 1533-position model. The record is from RNAcentral.